Long non-coding RNA from Brassica oleracea var. oleracea, 491 nucleotides. RefSeq lists it as uncharacterized. The transcript has 2 exons. Lineage: Eukaryota; Viridiplantae; Streptophyta; Magnoliopsida; Brassicales; Brassicaceae. The record is from RefSeq and is a predicted model, not a curated record.
GUUGUUGAAAGAGUUUGUGUGAAUCUUUGAAGUGUAAGUCUUUAUGCUUGAUAGAGUUUGGGUGAAUCUUUGAAGUGAAAGUCUUUAUGUUAAAUGAUCUUGUAUCAUUGAACCUUUUUUGCAGGCUCUCUGUUUCCAUAUUGUGAAGGUGUUGGAGUUCGUUGCAAAGAAAGAUAGUCUGCAACUGCCCCAUGGUUUUACAGCAUUACAAGUACUCUUAGUUAUAGGACGAAUUGUUUUAUCCUGGUGAUAAAGAUACAGAAGCUCACGAACUCUUUGGGAGCUAUGUUUCCAUCAUUACUUGCAGUUUUAAGAGCCAAUUGAUUCCCUUCUACAGAAGCAGUAGCAGAAGACGGGUUAAUGGUGAACCUCUCCACAGGAACAUUAUCAUUACUGAAAAAGAUGACUGCUACUCUUUCAACAAGACCAUGUUACAAACAUUGUUCAUACGUCAUUCUAUAAUGAUUAUAGAAACAAAGGCUGAUCUUUGA